This 1025-nucleotide long non-coding RNA is filed under the name Canis lupus familiaris (dog). RNAcentral's name for it is "lncRNA (ENSCAFG00000046487.2)". Lineage: Eukaryota; Metazoa; Chordata; Mammalia; Carnivora; Canidae. The record is from RNAcentral.
ACGCAUGCACACACAAGCGGGUACUGAGGCACAAACGGCGCACAUUUAAAUGCGCACACACGUACGUUCACACACACCAUCCUAGAACACUGACUGGGCUUAUUGCCAGACCAGUAGACCAGUGCUCAAGCACCUGCAGCUCCCGGGGGCCCUCCGCAGCCCAGCCCCCAGGCUCCAGCCGGGCCCACAGGCAUGCUUCACCCCAAGGCCUCCUAACGGAUUGGUUUCCCCGCAGGCACCCAGCCGCCCCCGCCGGGCACACAGGCUCCCCAGGGCGGGUGGCCGCUCCCCCCGCCCCGCCCCGGGGCCAGGAGCACCCCUGCAUCCCAGGACGGACCUGGAAAGAGACGCGGCUGCAAGAUCCAAGAGCCACGCACAUCUGCACACUCAGAACCGCGCGACUCCGCGAAGCUGGGCGCCGCUGUCAGGCGCUCGAUCUCCCACACGCGGGGCCCCUGUGCACCCGCGGCCGCAGGUGUCUGCGCCCCAGGCCCCGCAGGUCGGCCCUGGGGGUGCGGGGCAGCGGGGCUGCAGGCACGGAGGGCGCCGGGACGGUGGCUCCAGCUGCACGCGCGCGCGCACACACGCGCACACACGCGCACACACGCGCACACACGCGCACCCAGCCUGCGGGCCGCCUCUCCAGCCGGUGCCCACGGGGAUCCUCCCCGCCCUCCUCCCCCCCGCCCUCUCCUCCGGCCUCUACCCUCCGCCUCGGGCUCCCCCCUGCCCUCUCCCUCCCGCUCCCCAGCCCGCCGCCCCCGCCGGCUCCCUCCGUCCCCCCACCCUCCUUCCCUCCCCCCCCCGCCCGCCCUCCUCCCGCCGCGGCUCUCCCACGGUGCGGGCCCGGGCUCCUGCACCGCCCCCGCCCCCGCCCCCGCCGCCGCCGCCGCCGCCGCCGCCUCUCCGCCCCCCGCGCGCCCGGAGGAGCCGCAGAGCUAACCCCGCGCGGAGAGGCUCCUGCGCGGCCCGGCCCGGCUCCCGGGCCCACGAGCAGCCGCCGGCCGGGGCCCUCCCGCGGCCCC